GACGAACGCUGGCGGCGUGCUUAACACAUGCAAGUCGAACGCUGAAGCUCAGCUUGCUGGGUGGAUGAGUGGCGAACGGGUGAGUAACACGUGAGUAACCUGCCCUCUUCUUUGGGAUAACGCCCGGAAACGGGUGCUAAUACUGGAUAUUCACUGAUUCUCGCAUGGGGGUUGGUGGAAAGGUUUUUUCUGGUGGGGGAUGGGCUCGCGGCCUAUCAGCUUGUUGGUGGGGUGAUGGCCUACCAAGGCUUUGACGGGUAGCCGGCCUGAGAGGGUGACCGGUCACAUUGGGACUGAGAUACGGCCCAGACUCCUACGGGAGGCAGCAGUGGGGAAUAUUGCACGAUGGGCGAAAGCCUGAUGCAGCGACGCCGCGUGAGGGAUGGAGGCCUUCGGGGUGUAAACCUCUUUCGCUCAUGGUCAAGCCGCAGCUUUGGGUUGUGGUGAGGGUAGUGGGUAAAGAAGCGCCGGCUAACUACGUG
This 482-nucleotide ribosomal RNA is filed under the name uncultured bacterium. Its description in RNAcentral is "partial 16S ribosomal RNA". It matches the Rfam family "Bacterial small subunit ribosomal RNA", at positions 28 to 507 of the family's 1533-position model. The record is from RNAcentral.